This 1554-nucleotide long non-coding RNA is filed under the name Homo sapiens (human). Its description in RNAcentral is "non-protein coding LINC00605:3". The record is from RNAcentral. Lineage: Eukaryota; Metazoa; Chordata; Mammalia; Primates; Hominidae.
CGGGGCGCCAGGUACAGCCGGCGGGACGUCCAGUGCCAGCGCAGGAGCCGGGCGAGGCCGUGGCCUCCAGGGUUCCUGGGCGGAGGACAAGGCGCGCAGCCGCGUUGGCGCGAGUUUUAAAUCGGUGCCUUCUCAGCUUUGCAAGUUCUUAUCAAUUGCUGCAUGCCAGAGGAAGUUUUUAAAAAAUGGCCCCCAGCUCUAUUGCGGUGUAAUUGAUGGAUAGAAAUUGUAUUUAUUUAAGGUGAACAGCUGGAUGAUGUGAUGGAGGCACGCAGGGUGGAGGGGUUACCACAGUCUAGGUACUCUACACAUCCAGAGCCUCCCACAGUUGACAAAUGGAUUUUCCUAAUCAGUUUCGUCGUGUUUUGUACUUAAGUUGAGGAUUCCACACCGUGUGGUACUUUCAGAAGAGAUGUAGUGGUGAAUCAAUCGCAACGGUUGUGAUGUUUUCCUAAUUAGGUAUUGAGAAUUACCAUUGGUAUUUGGAAUUAGAUUGCGGAGCAUUUAGGAACCGUUCUCGCUAUGUUGCCCAGGCUGGUCUUGAACUCCUCAGCUGAAAUGAGCCUCCCACCUCGGCCUCCCAAAGUGCUGGGAUUACAGGCGUCCCCUCUGCCCCAGUACUGUUUCCUCUCCCCAGCCCAGCCCCCACAGCUGCCUGCCCUGGCCUCACUCCCUGGCCUCCCCCAUCCCAGCCUCUGGGUCCCUGAGUCAGUCCCUGGGGCUGUCUGCCUUCUAGGGGAGCCUCUGGUGUGGACCAGAAAGUAACCUAAUCCCUUCCAGGCCCACCCUGGAAACAAAGGGAUUUGUCCACUAGCCUGGUGGUGAGAACCAUGUGGCCUCCUGUCUCUGGCAGAGAGGACUCCAGGAUCAAGGGCAGGUAAAAGGAGGAGCCUCCUGGGGAGCUUCAGAAGGAGGGUCCCAAGUCCCUCCUGCCCCACUUCUGUGCCUGGGUCACUCACACCCCUGCCUGACUCUAGCCCCCCUUCUCCAGGGGUCUCCACAACAUGUGAAUCAUGCCCAGCGUCUUCCAUUACACCCUUGAUAAAGUCCUCUCCUCACCAGGACCUCUGUCAUUUUACCUCAUGGUUUUGAAAUAAUUUUUGGUCUUCUUAGCAGUUUAAAAAUAUUGUUUUGUUUUUUUUCCUGAGUUUGGAGCAUUCCUGUUACUAAUUACAUUUUUUUUUUAGACAGGUGUACACUACUACACCCAGCUAAUUUGUUUUGUUUUGUUUUGUUUUGGUAGAGAUAGGAUCUUGCUAUGGUACCCAGGCUGGUCUUCAACUCCUGGGCUCAAGCAAUCCUCCUGCAUUGGCCUCCCAAAGUGCUGGAAUUACAGGCAUGAGGCAGCACGCCCAGCCCUAAUUACUUCUAUUACGCCAAAUUCCUUGUGUGGAAUUCCUGUGCUUUGCACACAAAUUGCCAGGUUGGCCCCAAAGGGGAAAAAAGUGGAUCCCAUUUUCCCAUCUUCUAUGCCUACGUGGCUGACAAAUCUCCCGAAUCCCACAGGAGCUGUCGCUGAUCUUUGUCCUCUAUUCGCUGAAAUAAAGUUCACCA